This 2841-nucleotide long non-coding RNA is filed under the name Nicotiana benthamiana. RNAcentral's name for it is "long non-coding RNA (NBEN_LNC033658)". Lineage: Eukaryota; Viridiplantae; Streptophyta; Magnoliopsida; Solanales; Solanaceae. The record is from RNAcentral.
UGGUUCUCUGCUAUAAUCCGGAUCAUCAGAUGGCUCUUUCGAUGUAACAUUUGGGAUCUUGAUGAUUCGCUGUUGGUUGUUUGACGUGCGAGUGAUUGAUAGUGUUCUUGUGUUCGGUGGUGACAUCUUUAGGGGUUGGGUUUGAUUCCUCUUUUGCUGAUUGAUGAUCUUUUGUGGAUUGAAUCAUUUGGUUUUUUGUGCACAAUCGCUUCUGAGUUGAGUGUUGGGGAAGCUCUCUUCUUCCGCCAUCUCUUUUUGCUGGUUGUGACUUAGGACGGUUUUCUCGUCCUUUUAUGUCUCCUAACUUGGACAGUCCUGUUCAGACCCAGAUGGCUGUGGCACUAUUCAAGAGUCCUCUUGGUGGUGGAGAGUACCAUGGAAACAGUAGGAUGGAAGGGAAAUCUACUGGGAGGAGACGUGUUUUUGUGCAAACUGACACUGGUUGUGUACUGGGGAUGGAGUUGGACCGUAGUGACAAUGCUCAUACUUUGAAGAGGAGGUUGCAGAUUGCCCUCAAUGUUCCAACUGAGGAGAGUUCUUUGACAUUUGGUGAUGUGGUGUUGAAGAACGACCUUAGUUCUGUUCGGAAUGAUUCUCCUCUACUGCUGACGAGGAAUUUUAUGCAUAGAAGUUCAUCGACUCCGUGUCUUUCACCUACUGGGAGGGAUGUGCAUCAGAGAGAUCAGAGUGGCCCUAUUGAAAUACUGGGGAACUCUUGUGUCUUUGCCAAGACAAGGCUACUUGUCAAGGAGAUUGUGAAGGCUAUCAAGAAUGGAGUUGAGCCACUUCCCGUCCAUAGUGGACUUGGAGGGGGGUACUUCUUUAGAAACAGCAGAGGUGAGAGUGUUGCUGUUGUCAAGCCAACAGAUGAAGAACCAUUUGCCCCAAACAAUCCUAAAGGCUUUGUUGGCAAAGCUCUUGGACAGCCAGGCCUGAAGCGUUCAGUUCGAGUUGGAGAAACAGGGUUUAGGGAGGUUGCUGCAUAUCUUCUAGACUAUGAUCAUUUUGCUAAUGUGCCAGCCACUGCAUUGGUGAAAAUCACUCAUUCUAUUUUUAAUGUCAAUGAUGGUGUUAAUGGAAACAAGCCUCAUAGCAAGAAGAAACUCGUCAGCAAGAUUGCAUCUUUUCAACAAUUCAUUCCUCAUGAUUUUGAUGCCAGCGACCAUGGAACCUCAAGUUUCCCCGUUGCUGCUGUUCAUCGGAUUGGGAUAUUAGACAUCAGGAUUUUUAACACAGAUAGGCAUGCAGGAAAUCUUUUAGUUAGGAAGCUUGAUGGUGUUGGGAGGUUUGGUCAAGUAGAGUUAAUUCCCAUUGAUCAUGGCCUCUGUCUACCAGAAACGUUGGAAGACCCAUAUUUUGAGUGGAUUCAUUGGCCUCAGGCAUCUAUUCCUUUUUCAGAGGAUGAACUGGAGUACAUAGAGAAACUCGAUCCUGUUAGUGACUCUGAGAUGCUGAAAACUGAGCUCCCUAUGAUUCGCGAAGCUUGCCUUCGUGUCUUGGUCCUGUCCACCAUUUUCGAUCCUGUUCGUGACUCUGAGAUGCUGAAAAGUGAGCUCCCUAUGAUUCGCGAAGCUUGCCUUCGUGUCUUGGUCCUGUCCACCAUUUUCCUCAAGGAAGCUGCUGCUUAUGGGCUCUGCCUUGCAGAGAUUGGUGAGAUGAUGAGCAGGGAGUUUCGUCAUGGGGAGGAGGAACCCAGCGAGCUUGAAGUAGUUUGUUUGGAGGCAAGAAGGAUGAUUGCUGAGAGAGAGAUUUUAUCUCCAAAGGCUGAAGUUGAUGAGGAGGAGUUCCAAUUUGACAUAGAUUACGAGGAUGCAGGGUAUGCUUUUAGUCCAAAUAUGGCCUCUGAAAACUUCAUGACCAGGAACCCAUUUCAGUUUCCAAUUGGAGGAGGAAAUGGCCGCACUGCUUUUAGUCCAAAUAUGGCCUCUGAAGACUUCAUGAACAGGAACCCAUUUCAGUUUCCAUUUGGAGGAGGAAAUGGCCGCACUCAACUCUUUAAGCUAGACGAAAGCAUUGAGGAAGAAGAGAGUGAAGAGGAGGAAACAAGCUUUAACUAUGUUCCUCCCCCCGCAAAGAAUGUGUCUGAGUCAAAAGUAUCAAUGUCCCUCAAGAAUAUUAGUUUAGGUGACAAGAAGCAGAAGCAUCCUAAUUUUUCAGGAACAAAGCCUGAAAAUGGCGAUCUAGCUAGAGCAUCGUCCGGCCACAGGAGCGCGAAUGAGCAGCUCCCUGUGAGUUCCAGCUUUUUGAAGCUAGCAGAUAUGAAUGAGGAAGAAUGGCGUCUGUUUCUAGAGAAGUUCCAAGAACUGCUGUACCCAGCUUUCGACAAGGGCAAAUCAGUCACUGUUGGUCAGAGGCAGAUACAAAGGCUUGGGACUUCUUGCCAGUUUUGAGAUCAAGGUACUACGAUAUCUCACUACUAGGAUGAGUUAAUACCUAAAUAACUCCCUGCAGGCUGCUUGAAGUGAAGGAUUUCUAGCUUAGGUUUGUUUUAUGGAUAUGCUCCCUUAAAGAAGUUAUAUAGGGCGGCAGUAGCUUUGAUAGGAGAUGCUGUAAAUAUUUUUGGAGGCACCUGAGUGAAAGUGCUGAGUAGAAUUGGUGUUGUUUCCGUUUGAUGUCUUCAUUUUAUUUCCCUUUUACUUUGUCACGGCGACUGUUAGAUAAAUAAUUUGUAGAAUGAAAUCUGAAAAAAGAUAAAAAAAAAAAAGUUAUGUAAAUGUUGGAUUUGUUCUUUUUAUGUUUUGUGUUUGCUCUUGUAUUUUAUGGAGUGAGUUUUUCUGUCAAACGUUAUAUUACCCUUUUUACCAGUUUUUGUAUAAAUUGUCAUUUAGCGUUCUUUUCUCA